GAAGGGGGCUAGCGUUGUUCGGAAUUACUGGGCGUAAAGCGCGCGUAGGCGGCUUUGCAAGCCAGAGGUGAAAUGCCUGAGCUCAACUUAGGAAUUGCCUUUGGGACUGCGAGGCUUCGAGGACUGGAGAGGUGAGUGGAAUUCCCAGUGUAGAGGUGAAAUUCGUAGAUAUUGGGAAGAACACCAGUGGCGAAGGCGGCUCACUGGCCAGUUUCUGACGCUAAAGUGCGAAAGCGUGGGGAGCAAACAGGAUUAGAUACCCUGGUAGUCCACGCUGUAAACGAUGAGUGCUAGGCGUCGGCACGCUUGCGUGUCGGUGCCGCAGCUAACGCGUGAAGCACUCCGCCUGGGGAGUACGGUCGCAAGAUUA
This 370-nucleotide ribosomal RNA is filed under the name uncultured bacterium. Its description in RNAcentral is "bacterial SSU rRNA". It matches the Rfam family "Bacterial small subunit ribosomal RNA", at positions 527 to 896 of the family's 1533-position model. The record is from RNAcentral.